GAUGAAGAACGUAGUGAAAUGCGAUAAGUAAUGUGAAUUGCAGAAUUCAGUGAAUCAUCUAAUCUUUGAACGCACAUUGCGCCCGCCAGUAUUCUGGCGGGCAUGCCUGUUCGAGCGUCAUUUCAACCAUCAAGCCCCCGGCUUGUGUUGGGGACCUGCGGCUGCCGCAGGCCCUGAAAACCAGUGGCGGGCUCGCUAGUCACUCCGAGCGUAGUAAUACAUCUCGCUCAGGGCGUGCUGCGGGUUCCGGCCGUUAAAAAGCCUUAUUUACCCAAGGUUGACCUCGGAUCAGGUAGGAAGACCCGCUGAACUUAAGCAUAUCAAUAAGCGGAGGA
RNAcentral lists this unclassified non-coding RNA (335 nucleotides) under soil metagenome. RNAcentral's name for it is "partial contains 5.8S ribosomal RNA, internal transcribed spacer 2, and large subunit ribosomal RNA". The stretch from base 1 to 120 matches the Rfam family "5.8S ribosomal RNA", at positions 35 to 154 of the family's 154-position model. The record is from RNAcentral.